This 655-nucleotide long non-coding RNA is filed under the name Homo sapiens (human). RNAcentral describes it as "non-protein coding lnc-CCDC167-4:2". Lineage: Eukaryota; Metazoa; Chordata; Mammalia; Primates; Hominidae. The record is from RNAcentral.
UGAGUCCCUGUUAAUAUGCCAGGCACUGUGCUAGGUCCUGGGGUAGAGCGGUGGGCAAAACAGGCUCUGCCCUCAUAGAGCUUAGGAGGAAAGGCAAACACGUUUCAGAUAGUCUCACAAAUAAAUAUAUCAUUGCAAACUGUGAUACAUGAGAGCCUGGAAAGAGUUCCCUGAGGGCAGUGCAGCCUCAAAGGGAGAGACUACUCUUUAGCCUGUACGGUGUGUAGAGGGCUUGGGAGUUGGAAUGUCUUAGUAGAACUAGAGCAGGGGCCCAGGGCUGUUUCCUCCAUUUGGCUCAUAGGCCUGAUGUCUAGGGCAUGGAAGUGUCUUAAGGGCCCGGAAAAAUAAAUUAAUUGGUUCCAAAAUACAAAGAAACAACUGCAUAAUUCAAGCCAAUAAAUGCAUAAAUGUUUAUAGAGUAUAUAUUAUACUAACAAGAUCACUGGACCUCAGCUUGCCUUGUAGAGCUAUUUACAAAUAAGAACUUUGUAUUUAAAUUAUAUUUAAUGUGGAACAUGGGUACAUUUUAAUUUGUUUGAUGUAAUGUGCAAUGGGACUCAUGGAAGUCUUCAAAAGACCCUCUGAUUGGGCAAUGUGUUGGGUUGAAUUAAGUUCUGCCGUGAAUAAAAGAAAUUAACAGUGUUAUUAACAGAAA